CAGCAGCCGCGGUAAUACGUAGGUGGCAAGCGUUGUCCGGAAUUAUUGGGCGUAAAGGGCUCGCAGGCGGUUUCUUAAGUCUGAUGUGAAAGCCCCCGGCUCAACCAGGGAGGGUCAUUGGAAACUGGGAAACUUGAGUGCAGAAGAGGAGAGUGGAAUUCCACGUGUAGCGGUGAAAUGCGUAGAGAUGUGGAGGAACACCAGUGGCGAAGGCGACUCUCUGGUCUGUAACUGACGCUGAGGAGCGAAAGCGUGGGGAGCGAACAGGAUUAGAUACCCCGGUAGUCCCUGUCUCUUAUAC
This 301-nucleotide ribosomal RNA is filed under the name uncultured bacterium. RNAcentral describes it as "partial 16S ribosomal RNA". It matches the Rfam family "Bacterial small subunit ribosomal RNA", at positions 509 to 807 of the family's 1533-position model. The record is from RNAcentral.